Molecule: long non-coding RNA, 1281 nt
Filed under: Hordeum vulgare
Lineage: Eukaryota; Viridiplantae; Streptophyta; Magnoliopsida; Poales; Poaceae
Description: long non-coding RNA (HVUL_LNC011340)
Source: RNAcentral
GGCGACUGCAGCGCCUACCUCGGGCGCGACGGGCGGGAGACGGGCGAGAGCAGGAGCAACGACGUCGGCCUCGGGCGCGACAUGCGGGUGCAGUGGAGGCCUCGGGCGAGAUGUACGGGAGCGGCAGCGGAGGCAGCGGCCUCGGACGCGACGGGCGGGAGCAGGAGUGACGGCACCAGCCUCGGGCGCGACGGGCGGGAGCAGGAGCAACGGCGUCGGCCUCGAGCCCGACAGGCUGGUGCAGUGAAGGCCUCGGGCACGAUGUACGGGAGCGGCACCGGCGGCGGCGGCCUCGGGCGCGAUGUGCAGGAGCAGCACCGGCGGCAGCGGCGGCCUCACGCCGUAGUGGUGAUGUCGUCUUCAGUUAAAGGCGGGUGACACCAGUGGUAAUGAUUUGUUUUCAGCCCUCUAGUCUUUCGUUCUCAUCGCUUCAUGGGCUUUCUUCUUCUUUUCCUUUCCGUGUGUCUGAUGAAACCCAAGAUGUAACUUAUUGAUCUUGAAUGGAAUAACAGGCCAAGUGUUUCUUUGCAUUAGUCCACUUGAUUUUUGAGAAAGGUGUGGUUGCUCCCGGGUGUAUAUAACAAUAUACUUAUUUUAAGUUGUUCAUGUGCUUUUGAAUUUUCUAGCUCACAUGCCAAUCGCCAUGCCACGAGAACAUGAACGUGUUUGUUCAGCUUUCUACGUGUGGGGUAGCUACUAUUCUGCAAAGAACAUGUUUUUACAUGCCAAUCAACAGAAAACUGAUGUAAAUACAUGCUUGCUGACUUACCAUUUUAUUUGAAUAUUAAUGGCAGGUCAAGCACGACGACCAUCCUGUAAAGAUUCUGCAAGGUCAACAAUGAUGAUAAAUGUUCUGUAUGCACAAUAGACCAAGAAGUGUUGCUGCAAGCAGGCAGGAGUUGCAGGACACAUGAAAGCUGGAAAUGAAAUAGAGGUUACCAUGAUGUAAUCCAUGCCAUUCUGGUCUUGCUGGAAAAGAAAAGGAUGAAUUGUAAUUCUGCAAGGCUCAAUGUAAACAAUAUGGUCAUACAGAGUUUUGAUUUUAUCUCUUUAGUAGGUGUGAAAGCUUUCAUACUUAAUUUGAUUAAUCGUCACUGUUUAUUUAUUUCUCUUUGUUUUUUUUCUUGAGCAGAGCCACUUCCUUCGGAUGACAGAAGAACUUGUCCUUGGGAUAUUUUAAAUUCAUUCUUUAUAUCUGGUGCAAGGAGGCCUGCUAUUUGCCUUACUUCACUUGUGCAACGAAUCGAGUAAGAAGUUUCAGUUUUCUUACUAAUAAUGCAC